GCCGAAGUGGCGGAAUCGGCAGACGCGGCGGAUUCAAAAUCCGUUGGGGCAACCCCCCGUGAGAGUUCAAGUCUCUCCUUCGGCACCA
This 88-nucleotide transfer RNA is filed under the name Polyangiaceae bacterium. RNAcentral's name for it is "tRNA-Leu". It matches the Rfam family "tRNA". From Rfam's summary of the family: Transfer RNA (tRNA) molecules are approximately 80 nucleotides in length. Their secondary structure includes four short double-helical elements and three loops (D, anti-codon, and T loops). Further hydrogen bonds mediate the characteristic L-shaped molecular structure. tRNAs have two regions of fundamental functional importance: the anti-codon, which is responsible for specific mRNA codon recognition, and the 3' end, to which the tRNAs corresponding amino acid is attached (by aminoacyl-tRNA synthetases). tRNAs cope with the degeneracy of the genetic code in two manners: having more than one tRNA (with a specific anti-codon) for a particular amino acid; and 'wobble' base-pairing, i.e. permitting non-standard base-pairing at the 3rd anti-codon position. Lineage: Bacteria; Pseudomonadati; Myxococcota; Polyangiales; Polyangiaceae. The record is from RNAcentral.